UACGUAGGGUCCGAGCGUUGUCCGGAUUUACUGGGUUUAAAGGGUGCGUAGGCGGCUGUUUAAGUCGGUGAUGAAAUGCGGGGGCUUAACCCUUAGCGCUGUUACCGAUACUGGGCGGCUGGAGAGAAACUAAGGCAGCUGGAAUAAGUGGUGUAGCGGUGAAAUGCGUAGAGAUCACUUAGAACACCGAUUGCGAAGGCAGGUUGCUGGGUUUGUUCUGACGCUGAGGCACGAAGGCAUGGGGAUCAAACAGG
RNAcentral lists this ribosomal RNA (254 nucleotides) under uncultured bacterium. RNAcentral describes it as "partial 16S ribosomal RNA". It matches the Rfam family "Bacterial small subunit ribosomal RNA", at positions 524 to 776 of the family's 1533-position model. The record is from RNAcentral.